Pan paniscus (pygmy chimpanzee) is the source of this 93-nucleotide microRNA precursor. The record is from Ensembl. NCBI's taxonomy places the organism in Eukaryota, Metazoa, Chordata, Mammalia, Primates, Hominidae.
UGAGGCAGGAGAAUUGCUUGAACCCAGGAAGUGGAGGCUGCAGUGAGCCGAGAUCGUGCCACUGUACUCCAGCCUGGGUGACAGAGUGAGACU